UACGUAGGUGUCAAGCGUUGUCCGGAAUUAUUGUGCGUAAAGCGCGCGCAGGCGGCCUCGUAAGUCUGAUGUGAAAGCCCCCGGCGGAACCGGGGAGGGCCAUUGGAAACUGGGAGGCUUGAGUAUAGGAGAGAAGAGUGGAAUUCCACGUGUAGCGGUGAAAUGCGUAGAGAUGUGGAGGAACACCAGUGGCGAAGGCGCCUCUUUGGCAUAUAACUGACGCUGAGGCGCGAAAGCGUGGGGAGCAAACGGG
This 253-nucleotide unclassified non-coding RNA is filed under the name uncultured Caryophanales bacterium. RNAcentral describes it as "uncultured Bacillales bacterium contains 16S-23S intergenic spacer region". It matches the Rfam family "Bacterial small subunit ribosomal RNA", at positions 524 to 776 of the family's 1533-position model. Lineage: Bacteria; Bacillati; Bacillota; Bacilli; Caryophanales. The record is from RNAcentral.